GCGUCGGUAAGGUGAUAUGAACCGUUAUAACCGGCGAUUUCCGAAUGGGGAAACCCAGUGUGUUUCGACACACUAUCAUUAACUGAAUCCAUAGGUUAAUGAGGCGAACCGGGGGAACUGAAACAUCUAAGUACCCCGAGGAAAAGAAAUCAACCGAGAUUCCCCCAGUAGCGGCGAGCGAACGGGGAGGAGCCCAGAGCCUGAAUCAGUGUGUGUGUUAGUGGAAGCGUCUGGAAAGGCGCGCGAUACAGGGUGACAGCCCCGUACACAAAAAUGCACAUGCUGUGAGCUCGAUGAGUAGGGCGGGACACGUGGUAUCCUGUCUGAAUAUGGGGGGACCAUCCUCCAAGGCUAAAUACUCCUGACUGACCGAUAGUGAACCAGUACCGUGAGGGAAAGGCGAAAAGAACCCCGGCGAGGGGAGUGAAAAAGAACCUGAAACCGUGUACGUACAAGCAGUGGGAGCACGCUUAGGCGUGUGACUGCGUACCUUUUGUAUAAUGGGUCAGCGACUUAUAUUCUGUAGCAAGGUUAACCGAAUAGGGGAGCCGAAGGGAAACCGAGUCUUAACUGGGCGUUAAGUUGCAGGGUAUAGACCCGAAACCCGGUGAUCUAGCCAUGGGCAGGUUGAAGGUUGGGUAACACUAACUGGAGGACCGAACCGACUAAUGUUGAAAAAUUAGCGGAUGACUUGUGGCUGGGGGUGAAAGGCCAAUCAAACCGGGAGAUAGCUGGUUCUCCCCGAAAGCUAUUUAGGUAGCGCCUCGUGAAUUCAUCUCCGGGGGUAGAGCACUGUUUCGGCAAGGGGGUCAUCCCGACUUACCAACCCGAUGCAAACUGCGAAUACCGGAGAAUGUUAUCACGGGAGACACACGGCGGGUGCUAACGUCCGUCGUGAAGAGGGAAACAACCCAGACCGCCAGCUAAGGUCCCAAAGUCAUGGUUAAGUGGGAAACGAUGUGGGAAGGCCCAGACAGCCAGGAUGUUGGCUUAGAAGCAGCCAUCAUUUAAAGAAAGCGUAAUAGCUCACUGGUCGAGUCGGCCUGCGCGGAAGAUGUAACGGGGCUAAACCAUG
This 1075-nucleotide ribosomal RNA is filed under the name Escherichia coli. Its description in RNAcentral is "partial 23S ribosomal RNA". It matches the Rfam family "Bacterial large subunit ribosomal RNA", at positions 75 to 1191 of the family's 2925-position model. Lineage: Bacteria; Pseudomonadati; Pseudomonadota; Gammaproteobacteria; Enterobacterales; Enterobacteriaceae. The record is from RNAcentral.